GACGAACGCUGGCGGCGUGCUUAACACAUGCAAGUCGAACGGAAAGGCCCUGCUUUUGUGGGGUGCUCGAGUGGCGAACGGGUGAGUAACACGUGAGUAACCUGCCCUUGACUUUGGGAUAACUUCAGGAAACUGGGGCUAAUACCGGAUAGGAGCUCCUGCUGCAUGGUGGGGGUUGGAAAGUUUCGGCGGUUGGGGAUGGACUCGCGGCUUAUCAGCUUGUUGGUGGGGUAGUGGCUUACCAAGGCUUUGACGGGUAGCCGGGCUGAGAGGGUGACCGGCCACAUUGGGACUGAGAUACGGCCCAGACUACAACGGGAGGCAGCGGUGGGGAAGAGUGCACUAUGGGCGGAAGCCAGAUGCAGCCACGCCGCGUGCGGGAUGACGUCCUUGGGGUUGUAAACCGCUUUCGCCUGUGACGAAGCGUGAGUGACGGUAAUGGGUAAAGAAGCACCGGCUAACUACGUG
RNAcentral lists this ribosomal RNA (468 nucleotides) under uncultured bacterium. Its description in RNAcentral is "partial 16S ribosomal RNA". It matches the Rfam family "Bacterial small subunit ribosomal RNA", at positions 28 to 507 of the family's 1533-position model. The record is from RNAcentral.